UGCCUCAUAUCAAGGUUUAAUACUGUAUCUUUAAAACAUAUAUCUUGUGUUUAAAUUGCCAACUGAAGUUAUAAAUCUAAUUUAGGACUAUCAGACCUUUUUUAAUACUUUACUAUGUUUUUAAUCCAGUGAUUGUUUUAAAGUUGAUACAUAACACUACAGGGAGAUAACUCUGUAAAAAAAAAUCAGUUGAAUAUUUUAAGCAUGAGCUAUUGUUAAAGAAAUAUUAUGCUUCUCAAUGAUCAAAGUAAGUGUUUGUCAAACUGCUUUUGAGCCAAUUAAUUUUUUUUGAUUUAGAAUGUGGUUUAAUUUUUUUUGAAUUUUUUAUAUUUUGUCAAAGGGGCAAAACUAUCUUUAUUCAAAGUUUUUGCAACACCUCGUGUUGACACAUGAACUAUGUUUAAUUGGACCAUACAAAUGUCCUUUAUCAUACAGUCUGAGUUAUUAUUAUUAUUCUAUAGAAACAGAUUUUGAUGAUUUUAUAAGAUACUAAAUUUCAAAGGUAUUUUAAUAUUCAGUGUAACAGACAACAAAAUGAUAUAAUAUUACAAAAGCAAUUG
RNAcentral lists this long non-coding RNA (560 nucleotides) under Mytilus galloprovincialis (Mediterranean mussel). The record is from RNAcentral. Lineage: Eukaryota; Metazoa; Mollusca; Bivalvia; Mytilida; Mytilidae.